RNAcentral lists this small nucleolar RNA (74 nucleotides) under Mesocricetus auratus (golden hamster). Its description in RNAcentral is "U8 small nucleolar RNA (ENSMAUG00000007252.1)". Lineage: Eukaryota; Metazoa; Chordata; Mammalia; Rodentia; Cricetidae. The record is from RNAcentral.
AAAGAUGAUUGGAGCUUGCGUGAUUUGCAGAUUAGCAUUUCCAUGCUACCAGGACCUGACGACAUCCUGGUUGC